GCCAGUCUGCCUGUUUUAAAUCCUGCCUUCGCCAUUAAGUUCUAUGGCCUUAAGCAGGUUACUAAAUCUCCUUGUGCCUCAUCUGUACAAUGGGAGUACUAGAUAUAUUAAAGCACGGCUCUGGGGGUUAACACUGGCAGAGCUGUGGGAGUGCGCCUGGCCCAGUGUUAGGUGAUGGCUGCUCCUGCCUUUACUGGAUGCAUGUGUGGUGACUGGGGGAAAGGGAGAUCGGUCUACCAUCCUGUUAAUUCCCAGCCUUCUUCCAGGAGGACUUUGCCAUGCUUCUCCUCCCACCCAAGCCUCAGAACCCUUCUCCCUGCCCAUUGUGCCCUACUUGUUUCGUGAUCUCCAAUAACAUCUUGUUUUUCACACUCAGCCCUGGAGUCCCCUCUACCAGCCCUUGACUGCUGGGUCCUGGUUCCCAUGGGCUCUGAUAAGGUGUCCAUCCUAUCCUCAUAACACUUUAUUGGAUCUGUUUGUUGAGACACCUGCUUUUCCCAGUGGAUGCUAAGGUCCUGGAGGAGGUCCUUACUAGUCCCAGGGUACUGUUUUCUGGACCAGAAACUGACCACCAACGGCAUGUUCCUUGCUGCCCUAACACCUGGCCAUUGUGGACGGUCAGCAAAUGUAUUUUGGGGUCUUAGUUUCCCCAUCUAUACAGUCAACAAAUGAGGUCACCAUAGCUCUGUUACCGUGUGCUUUUAUGAUGGUAAUAGGUGUCAAGUCAGGUGUAAGUCUAGGGGACCCUCCCAGGUGGGAGGGAGAGUGCAAGAGAGUGUGUGGUUUGUGUUCAGACAGGAGACAGCCUCAGCUCCUAGCAGUGCGGAAGACUCGUUUCUCUCAUGAUCCUAGGGGAUAAAGGUGGAGGACCAUCCCACCUGUCUGAGCGACCGUGGGGGUCUGGUGUCCUGGGGCCAACGUGUUGGAGCCGUGGGAGCGAGAGGGACACUGGAGCUGACAGCAGACAGCCAGUGGGCAGCCAGCUUGCACCCCCUCGUGUCCCCGGGGUCCCUUCUUCCUGGGAAGCUGGCCACGCUUCCCGCUUAUCGACGCCCCAUCCCGCCCCUUGUCGGCAGCUAAGGUCCAGCGUCUUCUACUCUGUGGAGUCAGGUGGGAAAUCCAAGAUGAAGCACUGGAACAUUCAGUGUCUGCCUCACUCAGAGGUGGUCCGGGCUCCAAGGGUGAUGCUGCCUGGUGUCUCGGAGCCGACCCUGUCUCAGCCUCCUGACCAUCAUUCCCCUCUCCGAGGAAGAUGAAACAGUCUCAGAGGGCCCUACACAAGUCCUGCCCUGUUCUAGUUGCCACACGUGUGACCUUGGGCAAGACACUGGCCCUCUCUGGGCCUCUGUUUACUCCUCUGUAAUGAGAGGAAACAAUUCCUGCCUCUCUCA
Felis catus (domestic cat) is the source of this 1391-nucleotide long non-coding RNA. RefSeq lists it as uncharacterized. The transcript has 4 exons. NCBI's taxonomy places the organism in Eukaryota, Metazoa, Chordata, Mammalia, Carnivora, Felidae. The record is from RefSeq and is a predicted model, not a curated record.